This 431-nucleotide ribosomal RNA is filed under the name uncultured bacterium. RNAcentral describes it as "partial 16S ribosomal RNA". It matches the Rfam family "Bacterial small subunit ribosomal RNA", at positions 29 to 507 of the family's 1533-position model. The record is from RNAcentral.
AACGAACGCUGGCGGCAGGCUUAACACAUGCAAGUCGAGCGCCCCGCAAGGGGAGCGGCAGACGGGUGAGUAACGCGUGGGAACGUACCUUUUGGUUCGGAACAACUCCGGGAAACUGGAGCUAAUACCGGAUAAGCCCUAACGGGGAAAGAUUUAUCGCCGAAAGAUCGGCCCGCGUCUGAUUAGCUAGUUGGUGAGGUAACGGCUCACCAAGGCGACGAUCAGUAGCUGGUCUGAGAGGAUGAUCAGCCACACUGGGACUGAGACACGGCCCAGACUCCUACGGGAGGCAGCAGUGGGGAAUAUUGGACAAUGGGCGCAAGCCUGAUCCAGCCAUGCCGCGUGAGUGAUGAAGGCCUUAGGGUUGUAAAGCUCUUUUGUCCGGGAAGAUAAUGACUGUACCGGAGGAAUAAGCCCCGGCUAACUUCGUG